UACGUAGGGGGCAAGCGUUGUCCGGAAUCAUUGGGCGUAAAGAGCGCGUAGGCGGCCCAGUAAGUCCGCUCUGAAAGUCAGGGGCUCAACCCCUGGAUGCGGGUGGAUACUGCUGGGCUAGAGUCCGGAAGAGGUGAGUGGAAUUCCUGGUGUAGCGGUGAAAUGCGCAGAUAUCAGGAGGAACACCGAUGGCGAAGGCAGGUCUCUGGGCAUUAACUGACGCUGAGGAGCGAAAGCAUGGGGAGCGAACAGG
Molecule: ribosomal RNA, 253 nt
Filed under: uncultured bacterium
Lineage: Bacteria
Description: partial 16S ribosomal RNA
Rfam family: Bacterial small subunit ribosomal RNA
Source: RNAcentral